AACGUAGGGGACAAGCGUUAUCCGGAUUUACUGGGCGUAAAGCGCCCGUAGGCGGCCUGACAAGUUGGACGUGAAAGCUCCUGGCUUAACUAGGAGAGGCCGUUCAAAACUGUCAAGCUAGAGUCUGGAAGAGGAGAGCGGAAUUCCCGGUGUAGUGGUGGAAUGCGUAGAGAUCGGGAGGAACACCAGUGGCGAAAGCGGCUCUCUGGUCCAAAACUGACGCUGAGGGGCGAAAGCGUGGGAGCGAACAGG
RNAcentral lists this ribosomal RNA (252 nucleotides) under uncultured bacterium. RNAcentral describes it as "partial 16S ribosomal RNA". It matches the Rfam family "Bacterial small subunit ribosomal RNA", at positions 524 to 776 of the family's 1533-position model. The record is from RNAcentral.